UGGAAGCCGGGCGACUCUGGCGGGACGUGCCAUCGACAAGAUGGAGGAAGGUGGGGAGUGACGUCAAGUCAUCAUGGCCCUUAUGUCCAGGGCGACACACGUGCUACAAUGGCCGGCACAGCGGGAAGCGAGGCAGUGAUGCCAAGCGGAUCCCUUAAAGCCGGUCUCAGUUCGGAUUGAAGUCUGCAACUCGACUUCAUGAAGCUGGAAUCGCUAGUAAUCGCAGAUCAGCCAAGCUGCGGUGAAUACGUUCCCGGGCCUU
RNAcentral lists this ribosomal RNA (262 nucleotides) under uncultured Synergistaceae bacterium. RNAcentral describes it as "partial 16S ribosomal RNA". It matches the Rfam family "Bacterial small subunit ribosomal RNA", at positions 1123 to 1382 of the family's 1533-position model. The record is from RNAcentral. Lineage: Bacteria; Thermotogati; Synergistota; Synergistia; Synergistales; Synergistaceae.